UAAUACGAGGGGGGCGAGCGUUGUUCGGAAUUAUUGGGCGUAAAGGGUGCGUAGGCGGUUUGGUAAGUCUUGUGUGAAAUCUAUGGGCUCAACUCAUAGUCUGCACGAGAAACUGCCGGGCUUGAGUGUGGGAGAGGUGAGUGGAAUUUCCGGUGUAGCGGUGAAAUGCGUAGAUAUCGGAAGGAACACCUGUGGCGAAAGCGGCUCACUGGACCACAACUGACGCUGAUGCACGAAAGCUAGGGGAGCAAACAGGAUUAGAUACCCUGGUAGUCCUAGCCCUAAACGAUGACUGCUUGGUGUGACGGGUACCCAAUCCCGCCGUGCCGUAGCUAACGCGUUAAGCAGUCCGCCUGGGGAGUACGGUCGCAAGGCUG
RNAcentral lists this ribosomal RNA (377 nucleotides) under uncultured bacterium. RNAcentral's name for it is "bacterial SSU rRNA". It matches the Rfam family "Bacterial small subunit ribosomal RNA", at positions 521 to 896 of the family's 1533-position model. The record is from RNAcentral.